RNAcentral lists this ribosomal RNA (404 nucleotides) under uncultured bacterium. RNAcentral describes it as "bacterial SSU rRNA". It matches the Rfam family "Bacterial small subunit ribosomal RNA", at positions 355 to 774 of the family's 1533-position model. The record is from RNAcentral.
UGGGGAAUCUUGCACAAUGGGGAACCGUAGCAUGCAGCGACGCCGCGUGAGCGAUGAAGCCCUUCGGGUGUAAAGCUCUUUCGGCAGGAACGAUAAUGACGGUACCUGAAGAAGAAGCUGCGGCUAACUACGUGCCAGCAGCCGCGGUAAUACGUAGGCAGCAAGCGUUGUUCGGAGUUACUGGGCGUAAAGAGUGUGUAGGCGGUUCUCUAAGUUCCGUGUGAAAUCUCCCGGCUCAACUGGGAGGGUGCGCGGGAAACUGGAGGGCUGGAGUAUGGGAGAGGAAAGCGGAAUUCCUGGUGUAGCGGUGAAAUGCGUAGAUAUCAGGAGGAACACCUGCGGUGUAGACAGCUUUUUCUUGGACCAUCACUGACGCUGAGACACGAAAGCGUGGGUAGCAAACA